GACGAACGCUGGCGGCGUGCUUAACACAUGCAAGUCGAACGGUAAGGCCCUUCGGGGUACACGAGUGGCGAACGGGUGAGUAACACGUGGGUGAUCUGCCCUGCACUUCGGGAUAAGCCUGGGAAACUGGGUCUAAUACCGGAUAGGACCACUGCCUGCAUGGGUGGUGGUGGAAAGCUUUUGCGGUGUGGGAUGGGCCCGCGGCCUAUCAGCUUGUUGGGGGGGUGAGGGCCUACCAAGGCGACGACGGGUAGCCGGCCUGAGAGGGUGACCGGCCAAACUGGGACUGAGAUACGGCCCAGACUCCUACGGGAGGCAGCAGUGGGGAAUAUUGCACAAUGGGGGCAAGCCUGGUGCAGCGACGCCGCGUGAGGGAUGACGGCCUUCGGGUUGUAAACCUCUUUCAGCACCGACGAAGCGCAAGUGACGGUAGGUGCAGAAGAAGGACCGGCCAACUACGUGCCAGCCGCCGCAGUAA
This 478-nucleotide ribosomal RNA is filed under the name uncultured bacterium. Its description in RNAcentral is "partial 16S ribosomal RNA". It matches the Rfam family "Bacterial small subunit ribosomal RNA", at positions 28 to 523 of the family's 1533-position model. The record is from RNAcentral.